UCACAUAUUUCUCCCACUGACCUGCACACCGAAUUGGGACCAUCUUCCUUUGAAUGUUGAGAGGGGAACCUAGGUGAAGUAUGCCCUCGACUGUGAUUUCAUCAUUUUCAUGACAAUGUAACUCCUCCCGAGCCCUUGCAACCAACUCACUAAACAAUGGUUUCUCAUCAAAUAUGACAACCUCGCACUGCAUGCCAACAAACUUAACACAUCCAUAUUCAUCCCUUUCC
RNAcentral lists this long non-coding RNA (230 nucleotides) under Setaria viridis. Its description in RNAcentral is "long non-coding RNA (SVIR_LNC007086)". Lineage: Eukaryota; Viridiplantae; Streptophyta; Magnoliopsida; Poales; Poaceae. The record is from RNAcentral.